CCUACGGGAGGCAGCAGUGGGGAAUAUUGCACAAUGGGGGAAACCCUGAUGCAGCGACGCCGCGUGAGUGAAGAAGUAAUUCGUUAUGUAAAGCUCUAUCAGCAGGGAAGAAAAUGACGGUACCUGAGUAAGAAGCCCCGGCUAACUACGUGCCAGCAGCCGCGGUAAUACGUAGGGGGCAAGCGUUAUCCGGAUUUAUUGGGUGUAAAGGGAGCGUAGACGGCAGUGCAGGUCUGGAGUGAAAGGCGGGGGGUCAACCCCCGGACUGCUCUGGAAACUGUACGGCUGGAGUGCAGGAGAGGUAAGUGGAAUGCCUAGUGUAGCGGUGAAAUGCGUAGAUAUUAGGAGGAACACCAGUGGCGAAGGCGGCUUACUGGACUGUAACUGACGUUGAGGCUCGAAAGCGUGGGGAGCAAACAGGAUUAGAUACCCUUGUAGUC
This 440-nucleotide ribosomal RNA is filed under the name uncultured bacterium. RNAcentral's name for it is "partial 16S ribosomal RNA". It matches the Rfam family "Bacterial small subunit ribosomal RNA", at positions 338 to 795 of the family's 1533-position model. The record is from RNAcentral.